RNAcentral lists this ribosomal RNA (254 nucleotides) under uncultured bacterium. Its description in RNAcentral is "partial 16S ribosomal RNA". It matches the Rfam family "Bacterial small subunit ribosomal RNA", at positions 524 to 776 of the family's 1533-position model. The record is from RNAcentral.
UACGAAGGGGGCUAGCGUUGUUCGGAAUCACUGGGCGUAAAGCGCACGCAGGCGGAUCGUUAAGUCAGGGGUGAAAUCCCGAGGCUCAACCUCGGAACUGCCUUUGAUACUGGCGAUCUUUGAGUCCGGGAGAGGUGAGUGGAACUCCGAGUGUAGAGGUGAAAUUCGUAGAUAUUCGGAAGAACACCAGUGGCGAAGGCGGCUCACUGGCCCGGAACUGACGCUGAGGCGCGAAAGCGUGGGGAGCAAACGGG